UGCCUGCCCGGUGAUAAGUAAUUAAACGGCUGCGGUACUCUGACCGUGCAAAGGUAGCAUAAUCAUUAGUCUGUUAAUUUCAGGCUGGAAUCAAAGGCAAGACGAAGAAUGAACUGUCUCUUUCUAUUAUUUUAGAAUUUUUCUUUUUGGUGAAGAGACCAAAAUAAAGAAGUGGGACGAGAAGACCCUAUUGAGUUUUAGUUACUUGAAAAGAUAUAAAUUUUUUGAAGUAACUUUGGUUGGGGCAACUGUUAUUAAAAUUAAAUAUUAAAAGAAUAAAGAGGAAUUGAAUCAUUAAUUUUAAACCCAGAAAUUAAUUUUGAAUCUAGAAAAAAUUACCUUAGGGAUAACAGCGUAAUUCUUUUUGAGAGUACAUAUUGACAAAGGAGUUUGCGACCUCGAUGUUGGAUCAAGUUUUCCUGAAGGUGCAGCAGCUUUCAAGGGUUGGUUUGUUCAACCAUAAAAAUCUU
RNAcentral lists this ribosomal RNA (470 nucleotides) under Asteroporpa australiensis. RNAcentral's name for it is "partial 16S ribosomal RNA". It matches the Rfam family "Bacterial large subunit ribosomal RNA", at positions 1856 to 2597 of the family's 2925-position model. Lineage: Eukaryota; Metazoa; Echinodermata; Ophiuroidea; Euryalida; Gorgonocephalidae. The record is from RNAcentral.